UCAUUAACUCAUCUUCGUCACCGCUAAUCUUCGCUUCGCGUCCACAUUUCAUUCUGCACUCUGCACACUUCUCAUUGCGCAAGGUCAGGCCACCUCAAGCACAGCUUCUCCGGUGUCGUUUUUUAUCAUUAACCUAUCUACAUAAGGGUAACUUAAAUUCCUCAACUACUACUUCUACCUCCUAAUACGGCAUCUGCUUUUUUCUGAACAAGUUCUAGAAACUACAACUCUGAAUCCUAGGAUUUUCUCAUCAUUCUACUGUCUACUGUGCUUGUUUUUUUCCUAUUGGAUUCUUCGAGUUUCAGUGAUGAAAAUGUAAUUAUGAAGCUAUGGUUUGAUUAUUAGCUCAGUCUCACUUUGAUUCCCUCGUUUUCUCCGCUGCCAAACAGGUAUUGUAUGGCAUUUUACAUUUUUACCCUUAGAACCCCCUUGUUAGAGGAAAUGAAGUUCAGAUCCAUCUAUAUGUUAUAUAUAUUCUUGUUGGUGUUGUUUUAUACUAUAUUUUGUCGUAUGGUUAGAUUUGGAAUAUGUUUGGAAUGAGAAUGGAAUUUCUUUAUUUGGCAGCUAAUGAUGUUAAGCUAUAAACUAACUUAAGCGGUUAUGCAAAUAUUUUAAUUCCAUCCAAAAUGAUUGGAAAAUGUUUAUUUUUGUUUACUUAGAGGAAAUGAUUUACAACUACUUACUUGUCAUAUUUGGUUUACAAAAAAAUUCAUUCGCAAUUCUACAUUUUUAGUCUCAUAGCAGAAUUUGCAAAUAAACACUAAAUUAGUAAGUCUUAAAUUUUCUCGACUUAAGACUAAAUUAGUUAACUUUGUAAAUGGAUUCUAUAUUUAAUAAUUAGCAUACCCAUCAUUAGGAUCCAUUUAUAAAUAAAUUUUUUGUUCUUGGAGACAAUAGUCUUGGUUAUCCCACUUGUCCCAGUGCCUUUCUAAAUCCACAUAAAAGGAAAUGCUUAAUUUAUCAUCACUCUACAAUAUUGUAAAAAUAAGUUAUGGGUUUAAUGGGGUUUAGUUUUCAGUAGCACGGAAUCUUUUUUUUAGAGUGUGCUGUUUCUUUCAGUGGGAUCAUUGUAGGAAAGAACUGUCAUCUAAUUUGUAUUCAGAAAUUGGUUUUUUUUUUAAGUUGCUGAAGUAUCUUUUGCUUUUAAGAGCAUUAACAAAAUGCCUAUUGUUUUUGUAUUUUCUUCAGUUCCAACUUCCAAGCUAUUGAACUAGUCAGUACAUGGACCUUUUAGCUUAUAAUCAGCCUUUCCUAGCUUAUCAUGUUUAAAUAUUAAAUUUGUUACCACAGUAGUAAAUCUGUUUCUGAUUUCAUUUAGCAACAUCUACAUCCUUUUUAAUAAAACUUCUUUGCAUGCAUAUAUUGUGCCAACUUGUUGCCACAUUGAUCAAUACUUGCUUUCUUCACAUGGUUUUUCUUUAUCCCAGUGAGUCUCUGCCAGGUGUUUCAUGACUUGGAGAUUGCACAAAGAGCUAAUAUUUCACUCCAUUCUGUAGCAUCCUUGUACUAACUGGGAGCUUUGGCAAGUUAUGUCUAUUUGAGACUUUAACAAUCUUGUUAGGUGAUAUCUGAGGAGGUAAGUAUCUAAGGUACUUUCAAAGGGGAGGUUAUAACCAGGUUUAUGAGCAUAUGGAAGUUAGGGGAGCUGUAGGCACUGGUGAUGGAACAGGGGAGCGUGCUUUGACCCCACUGAGGGUGAUAAGGGGUGUUGUGUGUUUAAUAGUGUUAAUUAUAUCAGCAUUUAUGAUGCUAGUAUAUUUUGGCUUUGUGAGUGCUGUCAUACUGCGACUUUUCAGCAUACAUUGGAGCAGGAAAGCCACAUCCUUUUUCUUUGGUGCAUGGCUAGCUCUAUGGCCUUUUCUUUUUGAGAAGAUAAACAAGACCAAGGUCAUUUUUUCUGGUGAAACUAUUCCUGGUAAGGAACGUGUUUUGCUUAUUGCAAACCACAGAACUGAGGUUGACUGGAUGUACUUAUGGGACCUUGCAUGGCGGAAGGGUAGUUUGGGAUACAUAAAAUAUGUCCUUAAGAGUACUUUGAUGAAAUUACCUGUAUUUGGUUGGGCAUUCCACAUUUUGGAGUUCAUCUCAGUAGAGAGGAGGUGGGAAGUUGAUGAAUCAAACAUGCGCCAAAUGCUUUCAAGUUUUAAGGAUCCUCGGGAUCCCCUCUGGCUUGCUCUCUUCCCUGAAGGAACUGAUUUCACGUAAUUUUUUUUUUAAUAUUUCUUUAUAUAUUUUGAUUAUUCUUCAUCCUUUUCUUUGGGGAAUUCAAUUCACCAUCAAUUUUAAAGUGUUUAACAAGUAACACUGAAAUUUCAAAAAUAGGUUUCCUAUGUAUAUCAAUCUUUUUGUGAAUAUUUUUCAGCCACCACAUGCUAUAAUAAAAUGCUUUUUGUUCUUGGCUAUAUUCCUUACGCAAGUUCUUAAUUUUAUUAUUCCUUUUCUUGUGGUCUGUAGUGAGCAGAAGUGCAUACGGAGCCAAAAAUAUGCAGCUGAAAAUGGCUUACCUGUCCUGAACAAUGUGCUGGUCCCAAAAACAAAGGGCUUCUAUGCCUGCUUGGAAGAUCUAAGGGGCUCUCUGGAUGCAGUUUAUGAUGUUACCAUUGGUUACAAACCACGGUGCCCAUCACUAUUGGACAAUGUUUUUGGUGUGAACCCUUCUGAAGUUCAUAUGCAUAUAAAGCGCAUAGCCCUUGAUGAAAUCCCAACAUCUGAAGAAGAAAUUGCUGCGUGGUUGAUGAAGACAUUCGAGCUAAAGGACCAAUUACUUGCUAAUUUUUAUUUACAGGGCCAUUUCCCUGAUCAAGGUACAGAAGGGGACCUUCCAACAUUGAAGUGCUUUGUAAAUUCUGUGGCCGUAAUACUGUUGAUUAGCAUGUGUACAUUUUUCACUUUAUGCUCAUCAAUUUGGUUUAAAAUUUAUGUAACCUUAGUAUGUUGUUAUCUGUCAUCUGCAACCUAUUUCAAUGUUCGUCCGGUGCCACUUCUUGGCUUUUUGAACACUGGCAGGAUUUUUUGAACUUCUAAAUUUAGCAUAUGAGAAUUCUCCAAGGUGAAUUCCAUAUUGCACACAUUUUUCGUGUCUUUGGCCGCUAGAGAUGUGCUAGUGCUCCUUUAAACUAACCAGCAUAUUUAUUUGUAAGGUUCUGGCAUUUUUAGAGACUGCCCUGGCAUUUUUAGAGACUGCUUAUGAACGGUCUUCUGUUUGAUGGAACGUAUUUCAUGUGUCAAGCGGUUGUGUUAUUGUUAUAGGACUUACUGGCUAUGUAUAAUUAAAAUAUAUCUC
This 3283-nucleotide unclassified non-coding RNA is filed under the name Hevea brasiliensis (rubber tree). Lineage: Eukaryota; Viridiplantae; Streptophyta; Magnoliopsida; Malpighiales; Euphorbiaceae. The record is from RNAcentral.